This 484-nucleotide ribosomal RNA is filed under the name uncultured bacterium. RNAcentral describes it as "partial 16S ribosomal RNA". It matches the Rfam family "Bacterial small subunit ribosomal RNA", at positions 29 to 507 of the family's 1533-position model. The record is from RNAcentral.
AUUGAACGCUGGCGGCAUGCUUUACACAUGCAAGUCGAACGGCAGCGCGGGCUUCGGCCUGGCGGCGAGUGGCGAACGGGUGAGUAAUACAUCGGAACGUGCCCAGUAGUGGGGGAUAGCUCGGCGAAAGCCGGAUUAAUACCGCAUACGACCUGAGGGUGAAAGCGGGGGAUCUUCGGACCUCGCGCUAUUGGAGCGGCCGAUGGCAGAUUAGCUAGUUGGCGGGGUAAAGGCCUACCAAGGCGACGAUCUGUAGCUGGUCUGAGAGGACGACCAGCCACACUGGGACUGAGACACGGCCCAGACUCCUACGGGAGGCAGCAGUGGGGAAUUUUGGACAAUGGGCGAAAGCCUGAUCCAGCAAUGCCGCGUGUGUGAUGAAGGCCUUCGGGUUGUAAAGCACUUUUGGCGGGAACGAAAAGGACUGUGCCAAUACCACGGUUCGAUGACGGUACCCGCAGAAUAAGCACCGGCUAACUACGUG